UAGGGAAUCUUCCGCAAUGGACGAAAGUCUGACGGAGCAACGCCGCGUGAGUGAUGAAGGUUUUCGGAUCGUAAAACUCUGUUAUUAGGGAAGGACAAAUGCGUAAGUAACUGUGCGCAUCUUGACGGUACCUAAUCAGAAAGCCACGGCUAACUACGUGCCAGCAGCCGCGGUAAUACGUAGGUGGCAAGCGUUAUCCGGAAUUAUUGGGCGUAAAGCGCGCGUAGGCGGUUUCUUAAGUCUGAUGUGAAAGCCCACGGCUCAACCGUGGAGGGUCAUUGGAAACUGGGAAACUUGAGUACAGAAGAGGAAAGUGGAAUUCCAUGUGUAGCGGUGAAAUGCGCAGAGAUAUGGAGGAACACCAGUGGCGAAGGCGACUUUCUGGUCUGUAACUGACGCUGAUGUGCGAAAGCGUGGGGAUCAAACA
RNAcentral lists this ribosomal RNA (427 nucleotides) under uncultured bacterium. RNAcentral describes it as "partial 16S ribosomal RNA". It matches the Rfam family "Bacterial small subunit ribosomal RNA", at positions 355 to 774 of the family's 1533-position model. The record is from RNAcentral.